RNAcentral lists this ribosomal RNA (253 nucleotides) under uncultured bacterium. RNAcentral's name for it is "partial 16S ribosomal RNA". It matches the Rfam family "Bacterial small subunit ribosomal RNA", at positions 524 to 776 of the family's 1533-position model. The record is from RNAcentral.
UACGUAGGGGGCAAGCGUUGUCCGGAUUUAUUGGGCGUAAAGAGCGUGUAGGCGGCUGGGUAGGUCCGCUGUGAAAACUCGAGGCUUAACCUCGAGACGUCGGUGGAAACCAUCCAGCUAGAGUCCGGAAGAGGAGAGUGGAAUUCCUGGUGUAGCGGUGAAAUGCGCAGAUAUCGGGAAGAACACCCGUGGCGAAGGCGGUUCUCUGGGACGGUACUGACGCUGAGACGCGAAAGCGUGGGGAGCGAACAGG